RNAcentral lists this ribosomal RNA (433 nucleotides) under uncultured bacterium. RNAcentral's name for it is "partial 16S ribosomal RNA". It matches the Rfam family "Bacterial small subunit ribosomal RNA", at positions 29 to 507 of the family's 1533-position model. The record is from RNAcentral.
AGCGAACGCUGGCGGCAGGCUUAACACAUGCAAGUCGAGCGGGCACUUCGGUGUCAGCGGCAGACGGGUGAGUAACACGUGGGAACGUACCCUUCGGUUCGGAAUAACGCUGGGAAACUAGCGCUAAUACCGGAUACGCCCUUUUGGGGAAAGGUUUACUGCCGAAGGAUCGGCCCGCGUCUGAUUAGCUAGUUGGUGGGGUAAUGGCCUACCAAGGCGACGAUCAGUAGCUGGUCUGAGAGGAUGAUCAGCCACACUGGGACUGAGACACGGCCCAGACUCCUACGGGAGGAAGCAGUGGGGAAUAUUGGACAAUGGGCGCAAGCCUGAUCCAGCCAUGCCGCGUGAGUGAUGAAGGCCUUAGGGUUGUAAAGCUCUUUUGUCCGGGACGAUAAUGACGGUACCGGAAGAAUAAGCCCCGGCUAACUUCGUG